GAUGAACGCUGGCGGCGUGCCUAAUACAUGCAAGUCGAGCGAACAGACGAGGAGCUUGCUCCUCUGACGUUAGCGGCGGACGGGUGAGUAACACGUGGAUAACCUACCUAUAAGACUGGGAUAACUUCGGGAAACCGGAGCUAAUACCGGAUAAUAUAUUGAACCGCAUGGUUCAAUAGUGAAAGACGGUUUUGCUGUCACUUAUAGAUGGAUCCGCGCCGCAUUAGCUAGUUGGUAAGGUAACGGCUUACCAAGGCGACGAUGCGUAGCCGACCUGAGAGGGUGAUCGGCCACACUGGAACUGAGACACGGUCCAGACUCCUACGGGAGGCAGCAGUAGGGAAUCUUCCGCAAUGGGCGAAAGCCUGACGGAGCAACGCCGCGUGAGUGAUGAAGGUCUUCGGAUCGUAAAACUCUGUUAUUAGGGAAGAACAAAUGUGUAAGUAACUAUGCACGUCUGGACGGUACCUAAUCAGAAGGCCACGGCUAACUACGUG
RNAcentral lists this ribosomal RNA (497 nucleotides) under uncultured bacterium. RNAcentral's name for it is "partial 16S ribosomal RNA". It matches the Rfam family "Bacterial small subunit ribosomal RNA", at positions 28 to 507 of the family's 1533-position model. The record is from RNAcentral.